CCUACGGGAGGCUGCCGUAGGGAAUAUUGCGCAAUGGGGGAAACCCUGACGCAGCAACGCCGCGUGAGUGAGGAAGGUCUUCGGAUUGUAAAACUCUUUUAUCAGGGAAAAAUGGUCAUGGAGCUAAUACCCCAUGAUUUGAUGGUACCUGAGGAAUAAGCACCGGCUAACUUCGUGCCAGCAGCCGCGGUAAUACGAAGGGUGCAAGCGUUAUUCGGAAUCAUUGGGCGUAAAGCGCGCGCAGGCGGAUUAAUAAGUCAGGUGUGAAAUCUCGAGGCUCAACCUCGAAACUGCGCCUGAAACUAUUAGUCUAGAAUGUCGGAGGGGGCAGGGGAAUUUCACGUGUAGGGGUAAAAUCCGUAGAGAUGUGAAGGAACACCGGAGGCGAAGGCGCCUGCCUGGACGACUAUUGACGCUGAGGCGCGAAAGCGUGGGGAGCAAACA
RNAcentral lists this ribosomal RNA (444 nucleotides) under uncultured prokaryote. RNAcentral's name for it is "bacterial SSU rRNA". It matches the Rfam family "Bacterial small subunit ribosomal RNA", at positions 338 to 774 of the family's 1533-position model. The record is from RNAcentral.